AUCGUCAGUUACGUCUCUGGUCGAUGAUGUAAUAUAGUUUCAAAAGAACUCCAACUACUGAAGUCGGUUGCCGAACCAAAGGGUAUAAAUUAAAUUAAACGGUACUACUGUUAUUGUUUUAAAUUAAACAAAGCUAGGCUCAUCAUCAUCAUCAUCAUCAUCAUCAUAUCUCUCUCUCUCUUCCAUGGCAACCGGCAAGCUGAUUCAAGUCGACCCGCCCGAACUCAGGUUCCCAUUCGAAUCAAGAAGGCGCAUCCCGUGUUACAUCAUGUUAACCAACAAAACCGAUGACCACGUCGCCUUUAGUCUUUGUUCGGAUGCCGUAGAGGAGUACAUCGCUCAGCCCAACAGAGAGAUCCUCUCGCCCCGAUCCACAUGCAAAGUCGAAGUAAUAAUGCUACCGCGGAGGAAAGCACCACAUCGCCAAGA
This is a long non-coding RNA of Asparagus officinalis (garden asparagus), 429 nucleotides long. RefSeq lists it as uncharacterized. NCBI's taxonomy places the organism in Eukaryota, Viridiplantae, Streptophyta, Magnoliopsida, Asparagales, Asparagaceae. The transcript has 4 exons. The record is from RefSeq and is a predicted model, not a curated record.